UGUAUCUACUUCUAAAUGGCUGUGGCCAG
RNAcentral lists this small RNA (29 nucleotides) under Bombyx mori (domestic silkworm). RNAcentral describes it as "ovarian small RNA-8940". Lineage: Eukaryota; Metazoa; Arthropoda; Insecta; Lepidoptera; Bombycidae. The record is from RNAcentral.